RNAcentral lists this ribosomal RNA (465 nucleotides) under uncultured bacterium. Its description in RNAcentral is "partial 16S ribosomal RNA". It matches the Rfam family "Bacterial small subunit ribosomal RNA", at positions 338 to 795 of the family's 1533-position model. The record is from RNAcentral.
CCUACGGGUGGCAGCAGUAGGGAAUCUUCCACAAUGGGCGCAAGCCUGAUGGAGCAACACCGCGUGAGUGAAGAAUGGUUUCGGCUCGUAAAGCUCUGUUGUUGGAGGAGAACGUGCGUGAGAGUAACUGUUCACGCAGUGACGGUAUCCAACCAGAAAGUCUCGGCUAACUACGUGCGAGCAGCCGCGGUAAUACGUAGGUGGCAAGCGUUAUCCGGAUUUAUUGGGGGUAAAGGGAGCGCAGGCGGUUGCUUAGGUCUGAUGUGAAAGCCUUCGGCUUAACCGUAGAAGUGCAUCGGAAACUGGGCGCCUUGAGUGCAGUAGAGGACAGUGGAACUCGAGGUGUAGCGGUGGAAUGCGUAGAUAUAUGGAAGAACACCAGUGGCGAAGGCGGCUGUCUGGUCUGCAACUGACGCUGAGGCUCGAAAGCAUGGGUAGCGAACAGGAUUAGAUACCCUAGUAGUC